This 622-nucleotide ribosomal RNA is filed under the name Lactobacillus sp. oral taxon 461. RNAcentral's name for it is "bacterial SSU rRNA". It matches the Rfam family "Bacterial small subunit ribosomal RNA", at positions 371 to 984 of the family's 1533-position model. Lineage: Bacteria; Bacillati; Bacillota; Bacilli; Lactobacillales; Lactobacillaceae. The record is from RNAcentral.
AUGGACGCAAGUCUGAUGGAGCAACGCCGCGUGAGUGAAGAAGGUUUUCGGAUCGUAAAGCUCUGUUGUUGGUGAAGAAGGAUAGAGGUAGUAACUGGCCUUUAUUUGACGGUAAUCAACCAGAAAGUCACGGCUAACUACGUGCCAGCAGCCGCGGUAAUACGUAGGUGGCAAGCGUUGUCCGGAUUUAUUGGGCGUAAAGCGAGCGCAGGCGGAAAAAUAAGUCUAAUGUGAAAGCCCUCGGCUUAACCGAGGAAUUGCAUCGGAAACUGUUUUUCUUGAGUGCAGAAGAGGAGAGUGGAACUCCAUGUGUAGCGGUGGAAUGCGUAGAUAUAUGGAAGAACACCAGUGGCGAAGGCGGCUCUCUGGUCUGCAACUGACGCUGAGGCUCGAAAGCAUGGGUAGCGAACAGGAUUAGAUACCCUGGUAGUCCAUGCCGUAAACGAUGAGUGCUAAGUGUUGGGAGGUUUCCGCCUCUCAGUGCUGCAGCUAACGCAUUAAGCACUCCGCCUGGGGAGUACGACCGCAAGGUUGAAACUCAAAGGAAUUGACGGGGGCCCGCACAAGCGGUGGAACAUGUGGUUUAAUUCGAAGCAACGCGAAGAACCUUACCAGGUCUUGA